UCGACAACGUGCGGCUGUGGCUCGGCAAGAACUAUAAGAAGUAUAUACAAGCUGAACCACCCACCAACAAGUCCCUGUCUAGCCUGGUUGUACAGUUGCUACAAUUUCAGGAAGAAGUUUUUGGCAAACAUGUCAGCAAUGCACCGCUCACUAAACUGCCGAUCAAAUGUUUCCUAGAUUUCAAAGCGGGAGGCUCCCUGUGCCACAUUCUUGCAGCUGCCUACAAAUUCAAGAGUGACCAGGGAUGGCGGCGUUACGAUUUCCAGAAUCCAUCACGCAUGGACCGCAAUGUGGAAAUGUUUAUGACCAUUGAGAAGUCCUUGGUGCAGAAUAAUUGCCUGUCUCGACCUAACAUUUUUCUGUGCCCAGAAAUUGAGCCCAAACUACUAGGGAAAUUAAAGGACAUUAUCAAGAGACACCAGGGAACAGUCACUGAGGAUAAGAACAAUGCCUCCCAUGUUGUGUAUCCUGUCCCGGGGAAUCUAGAAGAAGUUAUGACACAUGGAUCCCAGCAAGUGAAAUUGAAGCAUCUGUGGAAGAUGCUCCAACUCCUGAGAAACCUAGGAAGGUUCAUGCAAAGUGGAUCCUGGACACCGACACCUUCAAUGAAUGGAUGAAUGAGGAAGACUACGAAGUAAAUGAUGACAAAAACCCUG
RNAcentral lists this small RNA (656 nucleotides) under Pongo abelii (Sumatran orangutan). RNAcentral's name for it is "processed transcript". The record is from RNAcentral. Lineage: Eukaryota; Metazoa; Chordata; Mammalia; Primates; Hominidae.